This 276-nucleotide unclassified non-coding RNA is filed under the name Hevea brasiliensis (rubber tree). The record is from RNAcentral. Lineage: Eukaryota; Viridiplantae; Streptophyta; Magnoliopsida; Malpighiales; Euphorbiaceae.
GGUGUUGGCCUUUUAAUCAUAAUGGUGGGCGUGAGUUUAUUCAAUUGGUACAAGUAAGUCAUUAAUCAGUGCAGUCUUGAAAUGAUUUAGUAUUUCUUGUUAUCAAUCCAUUCUUGAAAUAAUUUAGUAUAUCUUGUUAUCAAUUGAUCCAUUUUUUUCUCUAUAGUCAAGUGAAGUUUGUUUCCAUAUUUGCUUUUCUUGGUCUUUAGUUGUUUUUGCAGAUUUUAGCCACAGGAAUGUGUGACUGAAAUUUGACAUUUAGACUAAGAAAUAUAG